Molecule: long non-coding RNA, 6469 nt
Filed under: Zea mays
Lineage: Eukaryota; Viridiplantae; Streptophyta; Magnoliopsida; Poales; Poaceae
Description: long non-coding RNA (ZMAY_LNC005770)
Source: RNAcentral
CGGAGUUUUGUACAAAAUAAAUAAAUAAUUACAUUAUAUGGAGACAACGGUCCAGCAACCCGAAGUUGACUGGGAGACGACGGCCUAGACCUCUUACGAACUCAUCGCAGCAUCCUCCAAGCGCCUCAUCAUGCGGUACCUGUUCUUGACCUGUGGGGGGUGUGUGAGACAGCAAGAGUGAGCUCACAUACGUUCAUCGCUCAACAAGUUGUGGGGAAUAAUGUGCCUGAACUCGCCAAAGAUGGGAGCUCAUGUGAAGUGUGAGGCUUACCAAAGAGGAUGGCUGAAGCUGAGCAUUGCUUUUAAAGUUGGUCAAAAUUUUAUUAGCCAUUACUAAGUAUAAGUAAAUACCAACUCAAUUAAAUAGUAGAACAGAAGUAACAACAUCACCUGCGAUGCAAUGCAUAUGACAAAUUGAAUUUAAGUUCCAUAGAUUAAUCAUGUGAGUGUCCGAGCUGCUCAUGACCGUGAGCACGGCUAGUAUACCAGUUUUACACUCUGCAGAGGUUGCGCAUCUUUACCCACAAGUCAUGUUACCCAUCUGCCAAGGGAUCACGACUUCCCAUACACCUCUACCGAGGAGGCGAGGCAGGGUAACACUACGAGGCCAUUACAAAGUUCCACUAGCUUCAGAAAACCCGCUACAGUUUAUAGGAAGCUCCAAUGCAGGAAUCCCUUGCAGGACCGCCAUCGCAGCAAAAUCCUCCCGAGGGCCUCCCUACACUGACCACUCCCCUACUGCCCUUGCCCCUUUCGGGUAAGGUAGUCUUCCACUAGCUUUCCUAAUUAAUCGGCCAAGGGCGUCCCAUUAAACCCUUGUGGUAGCACUGUUUUCCCGGGUGGUUCUCCAUGUUCCAAUUAACAUAAUGAUCUUAUCAUGAACAGUAAAUAGCAACUGAUAACAAAAGUAUGAAUAAUAUGUAUCUCAAUGCCCAAAUCCACAUAUAGCACUAGCAAGUACUACCCAGAAAGUUUAGUGGUAAACAAGGCAUAAUGAUAGAUAAACUAGGGUAACCUAUUAGGUCCCAUCAAAUUAACCUAUGCAGAUCAUUAUGAUUAAUUAGAACAUGAGUGGGUAAAAGAAGUGAUCAAGGGCACAACUUGCCUGGGACUUGAGAUUUCAGGUACCAACUUGCUCUUCAGAUGACACGUGACCUCACUGCUAGUCGUAGCAAUACAAACAAACAGUGUAUAGACAAAAUUAACAUUACACCAAACAUAAGAACAAACUGCAUAAUAAUAAUCUACGUGCUGCUACGAGAUCGCGAGAACAAGAAUUACUAAAUUCGGAGUUACAGUUAUCAAGUUAUGAAUUUCUGAAGGUUUUAUAUGUUUUGUACAAGAUUAAAUAUGAUACAAAUUUUAUUGUGAUAUUCAUGUCAAAACAGAGGUAUUAUGUGAUAAACAAUAAUAUUAUUGAAUUAUAGAAACUAAAAUGGGUAAAUUUGGGCUUAGUAUGAAUUUUCUAGGAUUAAACAAGUUCUAGCAUUUUUUUCUCACAUUAAAAAUCAUCUCUAAUUAUUUUUACUGGAUUUUAUAAGUCUCUGGACUGAGCACAUGAAAACAGGGAAGUACAGGGGUCUAACCAUAAAACUAUCUCAGACUCAGAACGUCCCUGCUACGGACGGCGGGUUGAUUACUGUGAAGUACAGGGGCUCUUAUGCAAAGUGUCGCGGCCGAAGGGGUAUCUAUGAAUCUGAAUCAUCCGAUCAAAAUCCUAGGGCUCAGAUUAGAUCGCUGAUAUCCUAAACCAGCGCGCGGAAAUAGCCAUCGGAUUUCUGAUCUACGGUUUGGAUCACAUGCGGGUUCCGAUCAACACCGGUCGAACGAUCCUAAAUCUAUGGACGAGGCGCAACACUCAUGUGAUCUAAUCACCACCGUUAACUCCUGGAUCUAGGACCACGGCUGGUUCUUCCCCAGACGACCAGAGCGGCGAUGCUGUCCCAUCCCGCGGUGUAGACGACGGCGCCAACGCGCGGUGCAGGAGCCCGACAUGCGCGCACAGCGAAGGCUCAGCAGGGAUCGAGAAGAAGAACUCACCGCCAAUGGAGGAGGUCGGCCGAUGAUGGAGCGCGGAUCCGUAGCGAGGCGCAGACCCAGAGCUCGUGCCUUCUCCCCGCGACGGCUUUCCCACGAUCACCCCUCAUAGCAGCGAUGGUGAGCAAAUACUGGAAUGACCCAGGAGAAAACGACGGUCGUAUUUAUGCUGCCUAGGAGCGAGAACGACCCGGCCAGUCGAGGCGCAAAGAUCGGCUAUCCGUUACAGAGAUGCGAUGGGAUCCCAACAAAUUGAGGUGUGUGUUUCGGUCUCCAACGAAUGAAGAAUCUGUCCAACAGUACCAUGCGUUGGGUGCUAUUGUGAUGAGGUAUUUUCCGGCCAAAGGAUUAAUAAAAUUAUAUAAAAAAUAUGCACCAUGGGCUGCGAUGGAGGCUUAAUUAGCGGGACUGAACUACGUUAUUGUUUGGUUGAGUCCAGCUGCAAUCGUUGACACCGCCAUUUGUUACAUACUAGUAGAAGUUUGUUACCGCUCUGCAUUGGGUGCCAUCUGAUCCCAUAUCCAAUCACCUUCCUCACGAGCCAACCAAACAAAACACGGUAACUAAUCUGCAGUUGAUAGCGUUGCAAGCUGCUUUCAUUUCCGUUCCCGCUACCCUACCCAAACCAAACAGCACCUACAUGGUAACGUAAGCUUCUUUUUUUUAUUCUAUUUCAAUACAAUUUACAAUUUCAAACUUGUUUAAAAUGCACAACCAAGAAACACUCGGCAUAGAUGCAAAUUCAUGAUUUUAUUUAUCAUUUAUUUAUUAAUUUAAUCUUUCAUGAUGGCUUAUAAAUAUUAAAUGAGCAAGAAAAAUCACAGUUGAAAAGGUAUUCCUUAUUUCUUAUUUGUUUUAAUAGAAAAUAAUUUAUAAUGUACAAUCUCUAUCCUAAGAUACUUUUUAAAAAAAUUACUAAACCUAAAAUCAGGAUUUUGGGGUGCUACAAAUUCUACCCCCCUUAACAGAAAUCUCGUCCUCGAGAUUAAUAAGAAAAGGGAUACAGAAUGAUUGGUUUGUAAUUCAGCUUUUAGUCUAUAAUUGGUUCAAAAACCCACAAUCUCAUUUAUUGUAUAUACUGAAUAGUGGGUGAUCAGGAGGGCAUAGGUAUCCAGCUACUUAUUAGGUAGGAUAUAAGAGAUGUAUAGUUUAGGGCAAGAAUAGCCAGGGGUAAGAAAGUUUAUGGUAAGGAAGAACUUCGUGUCAGAUGGUAAUGCAUCCGAAGAUUGAAUUUGACUUCUCUCCUUCCUUGAUGAGGUUGAGCUUUUCCCUCUUGAGCUUUGGUGUCACCAAGAGGUUAAGAUAGAUCAGUAGGUAAUAGCUAGGUAGAGGGUUUAGUAGGUAGCUAUAUGCUAGUUGGAAUUAGUUAUGUAACCAAUUAUGUAGGUCAAGUGGUUUGUGUAUGGCUGAGUUGAUCUAAGUCACCGAUUUAGGCGUAAGUGGAUUAGUAGUAUGGCCUUAUCCUUGUACCAGCAUUAAGUAACUCACUCUAAAUUAGAUUAUAUAAGAUUAGAUAGGAUCUUUUAAGAUAAGAUUGAUCUAUUUAAAAUGGAUAUACUUUAAUGGAGGAUAAUUUAGGUUGUGUAGUUGUCUUAUGAAUAUAUUUUUAUGCCUAUAUGUAUAUGUAGAUGUAGUGGUGGACAUUACUCCAAAACUCAUCACACUCAAUCAAAGAUCCAAAUCAGACAAGUAUCAUAAAAACAAACAUUCAAGUGCAUAGAUACUUUUAAAGAAAAUAUGAUUUUGUUUUUGUUUCAGAGAGUAGGUCUCCUAUUCCUAAAUGUCACUUUAGGCAUAGGAUUUCAAAGUGUGAAAUCCAAUUUUGUCUUUAGAAGGAAAAAGUACGAGUAAUCAGAGUAAGCGGAAAUAGAUGAGAAAAGAUUAAGAGAAGUUUAGAAAGAAUCAGAGUAAGGUAAGUAAAGAAUGGUUGUCCAGUUCUAUCUAGGUUUCGUCCUACAGUCAACAUUCCUCUGAUACCACUUCUGUCACACCCGGGUUUCGGGGCACCAAGACCCGGGCGCGAACAUAAUCACCAGGUGUGCUGGGACCAAGUCUCACACAUAUGAUGAAUCAUGGCACAGGAUCGAAUGUCACAUCUUUACUAUAUAAUCGGAGUUUUGUACAAAAUAAAUAAAUAAUUACAUUAUAUGGAGACAACGGUCCAGCAACCCGAAGUUGACUGGGAGACGACGGCCUAGACCUCUCACGAACUCAUCGCAGCAUCCUCCAAGCGCCUCAUCAUGCGGUACCUGUUCUUGACCUGUGGGGGGUGUGUGAGACAGCAAGAGUGAGCUCACAUACGUUCAUCGCUCAACAAGUUGUGGGGAAUAAUGUGCCUGAACUCGCCAAAGAUGGGAGCUCAUGUGAAGUGUGAGGCUUACCAAAGAGGAUGGCUGAAGCUGAGCAUUGCUUUUAAAGUUGGUCAAAAUUUUAUUAGCCAUUACUAAGUAUAAGUAAAUACCAACUCAAUUAAAUAGUAGAACAGAAGUAACAACAUCACCUGCGAUGCAAUGCAUAUGACAAAUUGAAUUUAAGUUCCAUAGAUUAAUCAUGUGAGUGUCCGAGCUGCUCAUGACCGUGAUCACGGCUAGUAUACCAGUUUUACACUCUGCAGAGGUUGCGCAUCUUUACCCACAAGUCAUGUUACCCAUCUGCCAAGGGAUCACGACUUCCCAUACACCUCUACCGAGGAGGCGAGGCAGGGUAACACUACGAGGCCUUUACAAAGUUCCACUAGCUUCAGAAAACCCGCUACAGUUUAUAGGAAGCUGCAAUGCAGGAAUCCCUUGCAGGACCGCCAUCGCAGCAAAAUCCUCCCGAGGGCCUCCCUACACUGACCACUCCCCUACUGCCCUUGCCCCUUUCGGGUAAGGUAGUCUUCCAUUAGCUUUCCUAAUUAAUCGGCCAAGGGCGUCCCAUUAAACCCUUGUGGUAGCACUGUUUUCCCGGGUGGUUCUCCAUGUUCCAAUUAACAUAAUGAUCUUAUCAUGAACAGUAAAUAGCAACUGAUAACAAAAGUAUGAAUAAUAUGUAUCUCAAUGCCCAAAUCCACAUAUAGCACUAGCAAGUACUACCCAGAAAGUUUAGUGGUAAACAAGGCAUAAUGAUAGAUAAACUAGGGUAACCUAUUAGGUCCCAUCAAAUUAACCUAUGCAGAUCAUUAUGAUUAAUUAGAACAUGAGUGGGUAAAAGAAGUGAUCAAGGGCACAACUUGCCUGGGACUUGAGAUUUCAGGUACCAACUUGCUCUUCAGAUGACACGUGACCUCACUGCUAGUCGUAGCAAUACAAACAAACAGUGUAUAGACAAAAUUAACAUUACACCAAACAUAAGAACAAACUGCAUAAUAAUAAUCUACGUGCUACUACGAGAUCGCGAGAACAAGAAUUACUAAAUUCGGAGUUACAGUUAUCAAGUUAUGAAUUUCUGAAGGUUUUAUAUGUUUUGUACAAGAUUAAAUAUGAUACAAAUUUUAUUGUGAUAUUCAUGUCAAAACAGAGGUAUUAUGUGAUAAACAAUAAUAUUAUUGAAUUAUAGAAACUGAAAUGGGUAAAUUUGGGCUUAGUAUGAAUUUUCUAGGAUUAAACAAGUUCUAGCAUUUUUUUCUCACAUUAAAAAUCAUCUCUAAUUAUUUUUACUGGAUUUUAUAAGUCUCUGGACUGAGCACAUGAAAACAGGGAAGUACAAGGGUCUAACCAUAAAACUAUCUCAGACUCAGAACGUCCCUGCUAUGGACGGCGGGUUGAUUACUGUGAAGUACAGGGGCUCUUAUGCAAAGUGUCGCGGCCGAAGGGGUAUCUAUGAAUCUGAAUCAUCCGAUCAAAAUCCUAGGGCUCAAAUUAGAUCGCCGAUAUCCUAAACCAGCGCGCGGAAAUAGCCAUCGGAUUUCUGAUCUACGGUUUGGAUCACAUGCGGGUUCCGAUCAACACCGGUCGAACGAUCCUAAAUCUAUGGACGAGGCGCAACACUCAUGUGAUCUAAACACCACCGUUAACUCCUGGAUCUAGGACCACGGCUGGUUCUUCCCCAGACGACCAGAGCGGCGAUGCUGUCCCAUCCCGCGGUGUAGAUGACGGCGCCAACGCGCGGUGCAGGAGCCCGACAUGCGCGCACAGCGAAGGCUCAGCAGGGAUCGAGAAGAAGAACUCACCGCCAAUGGAGGAGGUCGGCCGAUGAUGGAGCGCGGAUCCGUAGCGAGGCGCAGACCCAGAGCUCGUGCCUUCUCCCCGCGACGGCUUUCCCACGAUCACCCCUCAUAGCAGCGAUGGCGAGCAAAUACUGGAAUGACCCAGGAGAAAACGACGGUCGUAUUUAUGCUGCCUAGGAGCGAGAACGACCCGGCCAGUCGAGGCGCAAAGAUCGGCUAUCCGUUACAGAGAUGCGAUGGGAUCCCAACAAAUUGAGGCGUGUGUUUCGGUCUCCAACGAAUGAA